AUUGAACGCUGGCGGCAUGCCUUACACAUGCAAGUCGAACGGCAGCACGGGUGCUUGCACCUGGUGGCGAGUGGCGAACGGGUGUGUAAUACAUCGGAACAUGUCCUGUAGUGGGGGAUAGCCCGGCGAAAGCCGGAUUAAUACCGCAUACGAUCCACGGAUGAAAGCGGGGGACCUUCGGGCCUCGCGCUAUAGGGUUGGCCGAUGGCUGAUUAGCUAGUUGGUGGGGUAAAGGCCUACCAAGGCGACGAUCAGUAGCUGGUCUGAGAGGACGACCAGCCACACUGGGACUGAGGCACGGCCCAGACUCCUACGGGAGGCAGCAGUGGGGAAUUUUGGACAAUGGGCGAAAGCCUGAUCCAGCAAUGCCGCGUGUGUGAAGAAGGCCUUCGGGUUGUAAAGCACUUUUGUCCGGAAAGAAAUCCUUGACUCUAAUACAGUCGGGGGAUGACGGUACCGGAAGAAUAAGCACCGGCUAACUACGUG
This 486-nucleotide ribosomal RNA is filed under the name uncultured bacterium. RNAcentral describes it as "partial 16S ribosomal RNA". It matches the Rfam family "Bacterial small subunit ribosomal RNA", at positions 30 to 507 of the family's 1533-position model. The record is from RNAcentral.